AGUCAUAGCUCAGCUGGAUAGAGCAUCAGGCUUCGAACCUGAGGGUCGGGGGUUCGAAUCCCUCUGACU
RNAcentral lists this transfer RNA (69 nucleotides) under Pseudomonadota bacterium. RNAcentral describes it as "Proteobacteria bacterium tRNA-Arg". It matches the Rfam family "tRNA". Rfam says of the family: Transfer RNA (tRNA) molecules are approximately 80 nucleotides in length. Their secondary structure includes four short double-helical elements and three loops (D, anti-codon, and T loops). Lineage: Bacteria; Pseudomonadati; Pseudomonadota. The record is from RNAcentral.